Molecule: ribosomal RNA, 253 nt
Filed under: uncultured bacterium
Lineage: Bacteria
Description: partial 16S ribosomal RNA
Rfam family: Bacterial small subunit ribosomal RNA
Source: RNAcentral
UACGUAGGGUCCGAGCGUUGUCCGGAAUUAUUGGGCGUAAAGGGCUCGUAGGCGGUUGGUCACGUCGGGAGUGAAAACUCAGGGCUCAACCCUGAGCGUGCUUCCGAUACGGGCCGACUAGAGGUAUGCAGGGGAGAACGGAAUUCCUGGUGUAGCGGUGGAAUGCGCAGAUAUCAGGAGGAACACCAAUGGCGAAGGCAGAUCUCUGGGCCGUAACUGACGCUGAGGAGCGAAAGCAUGGGGAGCGAACAGG